Molecule: non-coding RNA, 217 nt
Organism: Caenorhabditis elegans
Lineage: Eukaryota; Metazoa; Nematoda; Chromadorea; Rhabditida; Rhabditidae
Source: Ensembl
CAGAGGCCACGCCUUCUUGUGCUGAAGAAAUUCUAGAGUGUCCACUGGAAGGCGUUUGGUAAAAGAACGCGGGGGCAUAGAAAACUUGAAAUGGUAAAUUGCAUAAAACAAGUAAGAAACAGUAAAGUGCUUGUUCUGAGAUUUAUCUGAAAUUGAUUCAUCGAAAAAUUAAAUUUACUCCGGUUUUAAAAGUCGUAAGACAAUAAACGUGUCUUUG